RNAcentral lists this transfer RNA (358 nucleotides) under uncultured Microcystis sp. RNAcentral's name for it is "partial 16S-23S ribosomal RNA intergenic spacer". The stretch from base 135 to 208 matches the Rfam family "tRNA". Lineage: Bacteria; Bacillati; Cyanobacteriota; Cyanophyceae; Chroococcales; Microcystaceae. The record is from RNAcentral.
AAGGGAGACCUAAUUCCGGUAGGAGACGAAAAAAAAGUAGUCCCUACCAAGAAUCAAUCCCAAAAGGUCGAAGCGAGGCAAGAUUGGCUUUCAAACUAGGUUCUGGGUUCAAACAAGACCUGAAUCAGGAACAAGGGCUAUUAGCUCAGGUGGUUAGAGCGCACCCCUGAUAAGGGUGAGGUCCCUGGUUCGAGCCCAGGAUGGCCCACCUGCACAGGUGGCAAAAACAAAGAAGCGAGGAAUCAGCACCUUAUCUUACUCAUAUAGUAAGAGAGAAUGCUGGCUCUGAGUAAAGAGUCCAGAGGAACCUUGAAAACUGCAUAGAGCUAGGUGAAAAAGCCAAAAAAGAAGACCGCAA